RNAcentral lists this ribosomal RNA (440 nucleotides) under uncultured bacterium. Its description in RNAcentral is "bacterial SSU rRNA". It matches the Rfam family "Bacterial small subunit ribosomal RNA", at positions 29 to 514 of the family's 1533-position model. The record is from RNAcentral.
AACGAACGCUGGCGGCAUGCCUAACACAUGCAAGUCGAACGAGACCUUCGGGUCUAGUGGCGCACGGGUGCGUAACGCGUGGGAAUCUGCCCUUGGGUUCGGAAUAACAGCGAGAAAUUGCUGCUAAUACCGGAUGAUGACGUAAGUCCAAAGAUUUAUCGCCCAAGGAUGAGCCCGCGUAGGAUUAGCUAGUUGGUGAGGUAAAAGGCUCACCAAGGCGACGAUCCUUAGCUGGUCUGAGAGGAUGAUCAGCCACACUGGGACUGAGACACGGCCCAGACUCCUACGGGAGGCAGCAGUGGGGAAUAUUGGACAAUGGGCGAAAGCCUGAUCCAGCAAUGCCGCGUGAGUGAUGAAGGCCUUAGGGUUGUAAAGCUCUUUACCCGGGAUGAUAAUGACAGUACCGGGAGAAUAAGCUCCGGCUAACUCCGUGCCAGCAG